GAUGAACGCUGGCGGCGUGCCUAAUACAUGCAAGUCGAACGAAACUUCUUUAUCACCGAGUGCUUGCACUCACCGAUAAAGAGUUGAGUGGCGAACGGGUGAGUAACACGUGGGCAACCUGCCCAAAAGAGGGGGAUAACACUUGGAAACAGGUGCUAAUACCGCAUAACCAUAGUUACCGCAUGGUAACUAUGUAAAAGGUGGCUAUACUACCGCUUUUGGAUGGGCCCGCGGCGCAUUAGCUAGUUGGUAGGGUAAAGGCUUACCAAGGCAAUGAUGCGUAGCCGAAUUGAGAGGUUGAUCGGCCACAUUGGGACUGAGACACGGCCCAAACUCCUACGGGAGGCAGCAGUAGGGAAUCUUCCACAAUGGGCGAAAGCCUGAUGGAGCAACGCCGCGUGGGUGAAGAAGGUCUUCGGAUCGUAAAACCCUGUUGUUAGAGAAGAAAGUGCGUGAGAGUAACUGUUCACGUUUCGACGGUAUCUAACCAGAAAGCCACGGCUAACUACGUA
This 512-nucleotide ribosomal RNA is filed under the name uncultured bacterium. Its description in RNAcentral is "partial 16S ribosomal RNA". It matches the Rfam family "Bacterial small subunit ribosomal RNA", at positions 28 to 507 of the family's 1533-position model. The record is from RNAcentral.